Heterocephalus glaber (naked mole-rat) is the source of this 3710-nucleotide long non-coding RNA. RefSeq lists it as uncharacterized. The record is from RefSeq and is a predicted model, not a curated record. Lineage: Eukaryota; Metazoa; Chordata; Mammalia; Rodentia; Bathyergidae.
UCGCUGCAGUCAGCUCCUUGGAGCGUUUGGUAAGGCCCUCGGUCUUACAUUUUGGAGGCCCCAGCGAGAUCCCUGGGCAGGAACCCCGGUUCAGCCAAGACUCUGUAGCAGGAUCCAGCAGGAGACUCUCAGGCACAGACCUCAGAAAACCUCCAGAGGUAAGAUUUUGUGGCCAGUUGCAACCGUUUGUUAAGUCAGGAGUGAGGUGGCUGACGAGCCAGGAAGCCUUCCCUGACCCCAAGGUCCCUGACGAGGAACAAGGGAAGAUUUAGUUUCACUUUUGUUGUGGCGCCUGUUUGUCAUUCCUUAGUGUCCUGUCCUUUGUGUGUUUAACCUUGUAUUUCUUUCUAAACCAUCAAGGGCAGAGAUGGGAGGAUCCUGCUUCAAGGUCACCCCAUUAGACUGUUUUCUUACUCAUUUUAAAUUGGCUUUUUCCCCUGAACAGGAGGACGAAUAUGGGGUUAAAUUUUCUCGUGGAAAACUUCGCUCCCUGUGUCAAUUGGAAUGGCAGCUUUUGGAGUUGGAUGGCCAGCAGAGGGCUCUUUUGACCCUAGCCUCUGUCGGGCUGUAUGGAAUAAGGUCACUGGUCACCCUAGUCAUCCUGAUCAAUUUCCUUAUAUAAAUAUUUGGGUCCAGGCUUGUCAGGAGCCUCCGGUUUGGUUGCAGCGUUGUUCCCUGUGAACAAACACUCACAUUCUGGUUAUGGCCCCAAGAGAACCCCGAGAGGCCAAAGCCCAGGCUCCCAAGCCAGUGCUCUCACAAGAUCCUGACCCCUUAGAUCUUGUCAUAAGACCUCCACCCUAUGUGGAGCCAUCCUCCUCCUCUGAAAAAGCCGGCCCUAAAUCUCGAAACCCUUUCUACCCUCCCUUUCCCAAAGAGAAAAAGUCUCCAGAUUCUGUAACCUCCCCUUCCCACACGUGAACUGGGGCCACUUAUGGUCCCAGCGGGGCUCCCACUGAAGGGACUGGUUCAGUUCCUCUUUUUCCUCUUCGGGAAAUAGAAUAGGGUCAUUAUUUCUAUAUUCCUUUCUCUACCAGUGACUUGUAUAAUUGGAAACAUCAAAAUCCCCCUUUUUUGGAAAAACCCCAGGCUUCGAUCUCCCUCCUAGAAUCUGUUUUUCAUACCCAUGACCCUACCUGGGAUGAUUGUCAACAACUUCUCCAAGCCCUUUUCACCUCUGAGGAGAGAGAAAGGAUCCAAGGGCAAGCCAUCAAGUCAGUGUUGGGAGGAACAGAGGGUCCACUUGAUGAGCAACAACGAGCCGGUAUUGAGGCACAACUUCCUUCCACCCAUCCCCCAUGGCAAGUUAAUUCCUCAGGUGGGAGAGAAGCUCUCCAAAACUACCAUCAGCAUCUCCUAGCCGUCUUGAGGGGAGCCGCUUGAAAGCCUACCAACUUGAGCAAGCCUGCCUCUAGCACCUGUGAGCCAGCCCCUCUUUGCCUUCGAAUGGACUGAUCCAGACACUGGAACUACUGAACAGCUGACAUGGACCCGGCUGCCACAAGGAUUCAAAAACUCCACCACUCUGUUUGGGGAAGCUCUCAGCAAAGAUUUACAAGAGAUGUUGCAGGAAACUAAGAUUGAUGGAAGAAGACUAACUAGCUGAAGGAGAAAAUUUCAGCUGGAACAAGAAGAAAGAUGCCUUGAGGGGUUCUCAGGAAUCAGCAAGAAACCACUCAUCACAGGUUCAAGGGUAUAAAAGUAUAAACCUUCAUUUCAGAAAAAGCCCUUGACCUCCCUAGAGAAGGGCCAUCUAGGGAAUUUUUGUUCAGAAUUCAUUUUAUUUUACUCAGUCAUCCAGGAACUCAGAGGCCAAUGAAGCCAUGAUUCAAUGGGGCCUAGCUAUUGAUAGAGCUGGCAACAGACUUUGGAAUUUUCCACAUGAUGGUUAUUUUGCAGGUAUGUGUAAUGUAAGAGUUGUCAGGUCAUGGGAUCUUGAACCAAUAUUUCAGAUAUUUCAAAGGCAAUAUGCUCUUGAGAUGAGAGUGUACAAAUUUAGGGUAAUAAACAUUAGAUUGGAUACUCUAAGAAUUCAUUAAUGCCAAGCACAAGGAACAUUGGUUGAGAAAAAUCACAGGCCAUGAAUGGAGCCACCCCAUCAAGGUAAUAGGGGUAGAGAUACCCAAGAACUCUGGAACUUACAUACUACCACCAUAAUUUCCUGAUAUCAGAUACAAAGCUACAGUAUGUAUUGUUUGCCUUGCUGGGUUUUGGUCUUGGUUAAUCCAAUUCUUUUCUGUGUCUAUAUUCCUUCCUUUUGUAAUGGGAAUAUUUAACCUGUACCACAGUAUGUUGGUAAUAUUUAAUAUUUUAAAAAUUUUACAGAGCAUCAUAGCUAACAAUAUUCCUUGAGUUUCAGAAGAGACUUUGACUUAGACUCUUAAACAAUGUUAGAAUUACUGACAUUGGGAAAGAGAUUAAUGUAGUUGAGUUAAACUCAGAAUAGGUACAUUAUGUUAGGUGGAAUUAUCAUGUACUUUCUGUAAUAGAAAUUUAAGUAUACUUUAAGGAUAUGUAUUCAACUGUAAAGUUAACAAGGGGUGGUAUGUGACAAUUCCAUGGAAUUUUCAACUUGAUUGGGUCAAAAGCUACGUAGGGAACAAGCCUAAAUUUAUCUCAGUGGGUGACAGAGGCAUGACUUUGGGUCUUUUAUCUAGUUCUUGGCUCCUCACCUUUAAUGUAUAAUUUAUUGCAAAAGCAAAAAUGACUAGAAAUUGACCUGAAAAAUAUUUGAAAUAUUUAAAGACGUACAUUUUAACCACUUCCAAUACCCAAAUUCCAGGAAAACUAUUCAAAUGAAAGUUUUUCUUUAUCUAAAAAGAUAAAGACAGCUUCCUUUUCACAGUAUGAAAAAUUAGGUUUUCCUUGGCAUUUGCCCUCCCAUAGCAUGUCUGUUUUUCUCUUUUAAAAAAUAAAAAAGCUGUAAGGAAAUGAAAGCUGUGCAUUGGUAUAUUGUCACCACAAAUGAAUUGAACUUGGCAUGAUAUCCUUCCACCUGUAUCCAAUUAUUAAGCCAAGGUAUUCUCUGCCAAUAUCCUAACUAUUAUACAUAACAGGUCUGUGAAGUGAUUCCUGCCCAACCUGCCUACUUUUUCAGGAAAAAAAAGAAAAGGGAAAGAAGAAUGUUAUAUAAUUAAGAGACAGCAGAGUGAAUGUGGGUAGUCAAUUGAAUUCUGGUCUGAUCGAGUACUCAAAGUGCAUAGUACCCACAGAUUGUAUUCAUUAUUAUGUUAUUAUCCUUAUUUAUCCUAUUCUACAACAAAAUGUAAUGUUGAGAAGAUCAUUUUAUAAUGUUUAUUGUUUAGAAUUCAUGUCUUCAGCUCCAAAUUAGUGAGUACCUACAAGAAGUUUUGUCAUUGAUCUAUUAACUGCUUAUUUCUUCCUCAUUCAUCAUAGAUAAUAUUAAAAAUACAGACUUUGUUCUUCAUGAUUCAGAAUUAUGAGAGUAAAUCAACUUCUUCACCUUCUGCUGUAUCUUUUAAUCUAAGUAAUGCUAUGAUAAAAGACAGGAAUUAAAAUGUAGUCUUACAUAAAUUCUGCAUUUAAAGUUCCUUUGAUUUGUUUUUAUGCAUUAGAAUAUUAAUAUGUAUUUUAAUUGCCUUUAAUUUAAUGCAUAUUUCUAUAAUUAUUUGAGAUAUAAUUAUUUCUGUAAAUAUUUGAGAUAUUUUAUUAAUAUCAUUUUGCUCAUUAAAAUUAAUCUUCUUUUUGUA